Molecule: ribosomal RNA, 305 nt
Filed under: uncultured bacterium
Lineage: Bacteria
Description: bacterial SSU rRNA
Rfam family: Bacterial small subunit ribosomal RNA
Source: RNAcentral
AUCCUACGGGGGGCAGCAGUGAGGAAUAUUGGUCAAUGGGCGAGAGCCUGAACCAGCCAAGUCGCGUGAAGGAUGACGGCCCUAUGGGUUGUAAACUUCUUUUGUCAGGGAGCAAUUGGGUCCACGUGUGGGCUUAGCGAGAGUACCUGAAGAAAAAGCAUCGGCUAACUCCGUGCCAGCAGCCGCGGUAAUACGGAGGAUGCGAGCGUUAUCCGGAUUUAUUGGGUUUAAAGGGUGCGUAGGCGGAAUAUCAAGUCAGCGGUAAAAAUUCGGGGCUCAACCCCGGCGUGCCGUUGAAACUGAUG